This 94-nucleotide small nucleolar RNA is filed under the name Exophiala xenobiotica. RNAcentral describes it as "A. fumigatus snoRNA Afu_300". It matches the Rfam family "A. fumigatus snoRNA Afu_300". Lineage: Eukaryota; Fungi; Ascomycota; Eurotiomycetes; Chaetothyriales; Herpotrichiellaceae. The record is from Rfam by way of RNAcentral.
UCUUGUGAUGAUUUUUUUUUUUGAAAUAUAUACGCUGGAAAUUACCGGCUGAGACUUUCGAGUCGCAGAAGAUAUCAAAUGGCUAUUUCUGAUC